This 122-nucleotide ribosomal RNA is filed under the name Lottia gigantea (owl limpet). The record is from RNAcentral. Lineage: Eukaryota; Metazoa; Mollusca; Gastropoda; Lottiidae.
GUCUACGGCCAUACCAUGUUGAAAGCACCAGUUCUCGUCCGAUCACUGAAGUUAAGCAACGUCGGGCUCGGUUAGUACUUGGAUGGGUGACCGCCUGGGAACACCGAGUGCUGUAGACUCCA